Molecule: long non-coding RNA, 3632 nt
Filed under: Mus musculus (house mouse)
Lineage: Eukaryota; Metazoa; Chordata; Mammalia; Rodentia; Muridae
Description: long non-coding RNA chr2:164129500-164133132
Source: RNAcentral
AUCGAGCCUUCACAGGACCAAGGCCUCUCCUCCCAUUGAUGCCCGACUAGGCCAUCCUCUGCUCCAUAUGCAGCUGAAGCUGGCUUUUUUCCUUAAUCCUGGGCUCACUUCCUGUCAGCUGGUUGCCUGCUCUGCCUCUUGGUUACUCUUAUUUAAUCAUGUUUACAGUAUUCAAGCAGAAAGGUGUGAUCAAAUAACCUGAAACAUGCCUACAUCUUGAAGUAUUUUGCUUGUUCCAUUCCAGACUUUACAUUAAAGUCUGAAUGAAUCUGGUUUCAUUCUCUUUGCCUUCCUUCCUUCCUGCCUUCCUUUUGUUUUUUGUAUGGAUGUGAUCUAUACCUGUGUACUUUCCCAUGUAUGUGCAUGUGUGCAUGGGGUAUGCCUGCACACAGUUCUCAAAAGAAAAAAAAAACCAAAACCCCCAAAAAACAAACAAACAAAAAAACCCCACCAAUGAACCAGAAAUACUUUGCCAUAUUAGGAAGCAAGGAAGCUCUUGAGAGCUACUUCACAUAAACCAUAUCUCAAUAAACCAGUUUUAAAAAGAACUGAGUCACAGUGUUGAAAUAUUUGCAUUUUUACUUGAAAUGUGUAAAAUGUUCUGAAACUCCUGAAUUCAUGACGAUUAAUAACAAGAUCAUAGCCUAGGACAAAAAUGUGGCUUAGUGACAAACUGAGUUGUGCAUAUGGCCGAUGUGAAGGUAGUUCCCAACAUGAGCUGUAGGACCAGCUACACCAGCCAUUUCUUAUCCCUAGGCUCAGUGGGGGAAGGCACAGACACUUGAGACCCUGGAGUCUCUUCUGGAGACGUGUGUGGACUCCCAAGCCUUUGGAGUUGCCUGUGAGAGUCACUGUUCUGUGGGCAGGAAGAAUGAUGGUCUUAGAGGAAAAACUAGCAAAUUAGAGUUAUUCAGACAGACUUGAGUUAUCAGCAGACAUUUUCUAAAAAUUUAUUCUCACCAAGAAUCAAAAGAUCUUACUUAAAAUUUGGACUUUAAAUCUUUAAAGAGAUUUUAAAUCUUUAUAAAGUUAUUUUUAAUUCACUUUUUAAAUUAUUGUUUUCCAUGUGUGAGUAUUUUGCCUCCAUGUCUGUCUGUGUACAGUGUCAGUGCCUGAUGUCAGUGGAGGCCAGAGGAGGUGUUGAAUUCCCUUGGAUUUGGAGUUACAGAAAUGGCUGUGAGCUGCUCUGUGGGUGUUGGCCUUCAAACCUGGGCCUCUAGAAGAGCAGCCAGUAGUCUUAAUCAGUGAGCCAACUCUCCAGCCCUUCACUUUUUAAAAAAAAAAGAUGGGGUAAUAACAUAUAUCUGUAAUUUGAGCACUCAGGAGACUAAGGAAAUUCAGAGUUUAAGGCCAUUCUGGACUGCACAGCGAGUUUGAGGACAGCCUGGGUCACAUAGUGUUAUCGGGAAAACAUAACGGCCUAUCUACAUCAAAACACUGAUGUGGACCAUGGAACAGAAUGGGCAGUCUAGAAAUGAAGAGCUGCACAGCCUCAGCCACCCGAUCCUUAACAAAAGCGAAAGGGACAGCCUCUUAGGAAAACUGAAAGACCAUAAAGAACGAGAGGGUGUGCUGGAGAGAGGGCUCCACUGUGAGCGCUUGCGGCACGAGCAUGACGUGACGACCUGGGGUUCAGAUCCCAGCAUCCCAUGCAGGUCUGGUGGGGUAGCAUGCACCUCUAACCCCAGAGCUCAGGAAGCAGGGGUGUGGAUCUCUGGGGCUUCCCACUCAACUAGUCUUAACAGGUAAGCUGCAGGCUCCAGGAGAGACCCUGUCUCAAAAGUGAAAGCGGAUAUUGAAUAAAAGCACCCAUCUCUGGGAAAGGCUGACUCUCCCCCUGGUAGCCACCAGUGGCCUGGGGUUUCUUGUCUAGGGUGAGAUCCCAUGAAUAUUUUCCACUUCCACAUUAAUAUGUCUGUUGAUACUGCCAUUGUUUCGGGGAAAGAUUAAAACAUCUAAUGUUCCAACAACUUAAAGAGGAGAACAGGAGAGGACAGGAUCCAGUGCCAGCCUCUGUCCUCCCUGUGUAACCUGGGGACACACAGUGCCAGCCUCUGUCCUCCCUGUGUAACCUGGGGACACACAGUCCCAGCCUCUGUCCUCCCUGUGUAACCUGGGGACACACAGUGCCAGCCUCUGUCCUCCCUGUGUAACCUGGGGACACAGUGUUAACCUCUGUCCUCCCUGUGUAACCUGGGGACACACAGUGUUGACCUCUGUCCUCCCUGUGUAACUUGGGGACACAGUGUUAACCUCUGUCCUCCCUGUGUAACCUGGGGACACACAUUGUUGACCUCUGUCCUCCCUGUAUAACCUGGGGACACAGUGUUAACCUCUGUCCUCCAUGUGUGUAACUUGGGGACAGACAUUGUUAACCUCUGUCCUCCAUGUGUGUAACCGGGGGACAGACAGUAUCACCCUCUGUCCUCCCUGUGUGUAACCUGGGGAUAGACAGGUUUUGAAGAAACUCUUGGUUCUUAGUAGGAAUGGCCUUUAGAGACCAGCCUUGACAAGUGCUUCUGAAGCCAGCUCAUUUUUCCCCCUGGCCUUUUCAGUGAAUGAAACAAAGGUAUAUGCUCAUUACACCUCCUUACACUAAGCACAGACUGGAUACUUGGUGCUGCACUUAGCCACUCUAACUGUAACUCCUCUCCCCUGGUAGUGCCAGCAUUUGCCUUCUCUUCCACACUAACGCUUAGCGCUGCCCGCCUUCCUCCUCUCUGAUCUCCACAGGGCUGGUCCUCGGUGAGCAGGUGGAUCUUUGUUUUAACACUGCUUUCUGUUUUUAGGUUUUACUCUUUUAACUUUUCUCUGUGAUUGCAUAGACUGUGUAGUUCCAAGGGGAAGUCCAUAAAACAAGGUUACUCAGUUCAUGAAUAUACCCUUCUACCUCGUUCUUCUCCCUUUUUUGUUAUGUUCACAGAUGAGGGCUGAGGAAACACCACAUUCCCCCUGACCCCCACUUGUCUGUCUGUCUGUCUCUCUCUCUCACUUUGGGGUAGCAGUAAUGGAUGGCACACUUUUCUCUGCCUUUGUUUGCAUUAUGUGAUUAAUCUAUAGCAAUCUGUAUAAAGAACUGUGAGCCAGCGCUUCCUUAUGUGUGGUGUCUUGUUGGGAGGAUGUACUGCAGUCACGACAGCCUCUCUGUGGCCACAUGCUCAGCUUGCUGGCAGUGGCUUUUAAGGUAAUUCAUAGCCUAAUCAUAAAUUAGGAAUUACAUACAUGCAUAUACAUAUUACAAAUUUUGCCUUUGUUUUUAAUGUGUUUCUGUUUUGAGUGGCACUAUAUAUUAGUUGCCUAUUUAGGUUUCUCUUUUUCCAGAAAGGAGAAGAAUUUCUUAGAGGAAUCCCUUCUGCUAACCUGUUGCUGUUGUAUAAUAAAUUAUUUAACUCAUAAAACUAAUUUAAACAUAAUUAAAACCAUGUGCCACAGCAGAAUGAGCAGUCAUGUCUCCUGGCCAGACAUGGUUAGCUUGCCCCAGACAUCAGUCAGUAUGUUGCCAUGUUGGUGCUAACAAGAGAAGAAGCUCCUGGAGGCCUGGAAUUCCUGUGUCAUCAGAGCCUGACAGUUUGAAUCUUGUAGCAGACAGAGACAGAUCUGGGUCAGUUACCUUACUACUGUAAUGUGAAGUC